RNAcentral lists this ribosomal RNA (529 nucleotides) under Yersinia enterocolitica (type O:2) str. YE3094/96. RNAcentral describes it as "partial ribosomal RNA". It matches the Rfam family "Bacterial small subunit ribosomal RNA", at positions 29 to 547 of the family's 1533-position model. The record is from RNAcentral. Lineage: Bacteria; Pseudomonadati; Pseudomonadota; Gammaproteobacteria; Enterobacterales; Yersiniaceae.
UUGAACGCUGGCGGCAGGCCUAACACAUGCAAGUCGAGCGGCAGCGGGAAGUAGUUUACUACUUUGCCGGCGAGCGGCGGACGGGUGAGUAAUGUCUGGGAAACUGCCUGAUGGAGGGGGAUAACUACUGGAAACGGUAGCUAAUACCGCAUAACGUCUUCGGACCAAAGUGGGGGACCUUCGGGCCUCACGCCAUCGGAUGUGCCCAGAUGGGAUUAGCUAGUAGGUGGGGUAAUGGCUCACCUAGGCGACGAUCCCUAGCUGGUCUGAGAGGAUGACCAGCCACACUGGAACUGAGACACGGUCCAGACUCCUACGGGAGGCAGCAGUGGGGAAUAUUGCACAAUGGGCGCAAGCCUGAUGCAGCCAUGCCGCGUGUGUGAAGAAGGCCUUCGGGUUGUAAAGCACUUUCAGCGAGGAGGAAGGCCAAUAACUUAAUACGUUGUUGGAUUGACGUUACUCGCAGAAGAAGCACCGGCUAACUCCGUGCCAGCAGCCGCGGUAAUACGGAGGGUGCAAGCGUUAAUCG